Molecule: ribosomal RNA, 440 nt
Filed under: uncultured bacterium
Lineage: Bacteria
Description: partial 16S ribosomal RNA
Rfam family: Bacterial small subunit ribosomal RNA
Source: RNAcentral
CCUACGGGUGGCAGCAGUGGGGAAUAUUGCACAAUGGGGGAAACCCUGAUGCAGCGACGCCGCGUGAGUGAAGAAGUAAUUCGUUAUGUAAAGCUCUAUCAGCAGGGAAGAAAAUGACGGUACCCCUUGAAUAAGCCACAGCUUACUACGUGCCAGCAGCCGCUGUCAUACGGAGGUGGCACGCGGUGUUCGGGUUUACUGGGUGUAAAGGGCGUGCAGCCGGAGAGACAAGUCAGAUGUGAAAUACACGGGCUCAACCCGUGAACUGCAUUUGAAACUGUUUCCCUUGAGUGUCGGAGAGGUAAGCGGAAUUCCUGGUGUAGCGGUGAAAUGCGUAGAUAUAAGGAAGAACACCAGUGGCGAAGGCGGAUUACUGGACGAUAACUGACGGUGAGGCGCGAAAGCGUGGGGAGCAAACAGGAUUAGAUACCCCAGUAGUC